GCUCCUAUCGUCUAGCCCGGUCAAGGACGCGGCCCUCUCAAGGCCGAAACUCGGGUUCAAAUCCCGGUGGGAGCA
RNAcentral lists this transfer RNA (75 nucleotides) under Microcaldota archaeon. Its description in RNAcentral is "tRNA-Glu". It matches the Rfam family "tRNA". From Rfam's summary of the family: Transfer RNA (tRNA) molecules are approximately 80 nucleotides in length. Their secondary structure includes four short double-helical elements and three loops (D, anti-codon, and T loops). Lineage: Archaea; Nanobdellati; Microcaldota. The record is from RNAcentral.